AGCGAACGCUGGCGGCAGGCCUAACACAUGCAAGUCGAACGGAUCCUUCGGGAUUAGUGGCGGACGGGUGAGUAACACGUGGGAACGUGCCCUUUGGUUCGGAACAACUUAGGGUAACUUGAGCUAAUACCGGAUGUGCCCCUCGGGGGCAAGAUUUAUCGCCAUUGGAACGGCCCGCGUCUGAUUAGCUAGUUGGUGAGGUAAGGGCCCACCAAGGCGACGAUCAGUAGCUGGUCUGAGAGGAUGAUCAGCCACACUGGGACUGAGACACGGCCCAGACUCCUACGGGAGGCAGCAGUGGGGAAUCUUGCGCAAUGGGCGAAAGCCUGACGCAGCCAUGCCGCGUGAAUGAUGAAGGUCUUAGGAUUGUAAAAUUCUUUCAGCGGGGACGAUAAUGACGGUACCCGCAGAAGAAGCCCCGGCUAACUUCGUG
This 433-nucleotide ribosomal RNA is filed under the name uncultured bacterium. Its description in RNAcentral is "partial 16S ribosomal RNA". It matches the Rfam family "Bacterial small subunit ribosomal RNA", at positions 29 to 507 of the family's 1533-position model. The record is from RNAcentral.